GUAGCUGGGUGCAGGCACAGUUUUGGGGUGAGGAGGUCAGUUCUCCAUCGGCAUGCCCUGAGAUAACCCAGAAGGGAAGUCGUAUCUGCUGCCUGCCAAGCACCUCCACGGAGCCUGGAGGAGCCUUCACGGUUCUGCAAGCAGGAAUUCCGCUGAAAUUACCAUCUGCAGAGUCAGACAAGCCUUUCAGCAGCACAGAGGCUCUCUGUGUGGGCAGAGUCUCCCACAUGUGGCUGGUUGGCACGGCCAGCCAGCUGUGGGUCACCUGUGGGCACCAGGCAGGCAAAGCCACAUACUGAGCAAGGAGAAAAAUCAUAACCCUGUGGAAACUAGGAAACCAUUCACCCGUGGUCACUCUGUACAUGAAUGCAUUGGUCGUAUACUGGGAUUACUGGAGAAAGAAAGGUCAACUGACAUCCACAGAAUGGAUCAUUGUCUCCACCUGAAGAGUCUUCUCUGUGAGUGAAAUCAUGAAAUACAAAUAUUCUAAUAUGCUGUGCCCUUUCCAACAUGCUUAUCCACAUACUUUGUCCUCUGUCACUAAUAUUUCCAUCUUGCUUUUUAAGUUUCUUACCAUCUAUCCAGAUGAGACAAUGAAGAAGAAUAUAGUUUAGAAGAAUAUUCUUUCUUUAUUCCACGAAUAAUUUUGAUUACCCGUGGCUGUCACUCUUCUUGGUGUUGGUGGGAUUAUGGUGAGCAAGACAAGGGAAUCAAAGGUGAACAAUGAUGAGCAAAAGGGAUCUUGUUUUCAAGGAGCUUAUAGUUUAGCAGUGAAUACUCUAAUCAAAUAAUUACACAAGAAUAUAAUUUCAAACUCUUGUGAGUCCUGUGGAGAGAAAGGACAUGGAGUUUUAGAACCAUACAACAGAGCUAGUACAGGAGGUCGGGGACAAUUUUCCUCAAAGUGAUAUUUCAGCAGAGAUAUAAAGCUGUGUUCUGUCUUAAUUAAGCAAAAAAAAAAAAAAAAAAAUGGGGGAAGACAGGAAUAUAUUUCUGGACAGAGAGCCUGUAUAAAUACGCUGAUGUAUUUCAAGUAUCUGAAAGAAGGCCAAUGUACCUGGUGUGCAUGGACUAAGGGGAAGAGAGAUUUGAGAUGAUGCUGGAGAUGUGCUUUGAAGAUUCGGUGAGGAAUUGGGGUCUUCAAACACAGCAAAGGGAAACCUUUGAAGAAGCAAAAGAGAUAUAAUCAAAUUUAAAGAAAUACCUCUGGCUUUAAUAUAGAGAAAAGAUUAAAAGGAGGUAAGAGAGAAAAGGAGGAUCUCAUCAGAGGCUGAAAUAUCACCACCGUUAGUACUAUGGCCCAGUCAUAUUCAGGCUAGGUAGGCUUUGGGGUAUUGGCUUUGGAAGUCAAUUGCCACUUACAACAUUGGAUGUAUGGAAAAACCAGUUCUUCAUUCUACCUUACAACUCAGGUAUAUAGGGAUCUCUGUUUCUGAAAUAGCAGUCACUGCUAUUACUCUGCCUGCAACCCAUUCAUUAUCUACAUGGCUGAGAAGGCUGCACAAACACCCAUGACAUGGGAAUGGCCAUUCCUGAAGUGAUGGCAACAAGGAAAGGACUCCAAAGGCACUGGGAAACCCUGUAGUUCCUGUAUGGAGGUAGCAUGGCUAAGAAU
Equus caballus (horse) is the source of this 1615-nucleotide long non-coding RNA. The record is from Ensembl. Lineage: Eukaryota; Metazoa; Chordata; Mammalia; Perissodactyla; Equidae.